This 152-nucleotide ribosomal RNA is filed under the name uncultured Burkholderia sp. RNAcentral describes it as "partial 16S ribosomal RNA". It matches the Rfam family "Bacterial small subunit ribosomal RNA", at positions 335 to 480 of the family's 1533-position model. Lineage: Bacteria; Pseudomonadati; Pseudomonadota; Betaproteobacteria; Burkholderiales; Burkholderiaceae. The record is from RNAcentral.
ACUCCUACGGGAGGCAGCAGUGGGGAAUUUUGGACAAUGGGCGAAAGCCUGAUCCAGCAAUGCCGCGUGUGUGAAGAAGGCCUUCGGGUUGUAAAGCACUUUUGUCCGGAAAGAAAUCCUUGGUUCUAAUAUAGCCGGGGGAUGACGUACCG